This 271-nucleotide unclassified non-coding RNA is filed under the name Hevea brasiliensis (rubber tree). The record is from RNAcentral. Lineage: Eukaryota; Viridiplantae; Streptophyta; Magnoliopsida; Malpighiales; Euphorbiaceae.
GUUUACUUCAUUGCAGUGUUUGGCAAAUUGAAGAGAAAAAGUGGUUUGAUGUAGAAAAGAAAAAAAUUAAAAAUUGUAAAACUCUAAUCCUAAAAAUAAUACAUAAAAUCAUCUUAAAAAAACUAUAAUGCAACACCUCUAUAUUGAUUCUCUCCCUUAUCUAAAUAAAAAAAAAAUUCAAAUUUGUGAAGAAAUUAGAAAUCACUUUUACUUGGGAUUUGCCUUCGACUCUGUCUUCAAGAGCUCGACCUCAUCAAAGGUAACACUUAUU